This 253-nucleotide ribosomal RNA is filed under the name uncultured bacterium. Its description in RNAcentral is "partial 16S ribosomal RNA". It matches the Rfam family "Bacterial small subunit ribosomal RNA", at positions 524 to 776 of the family's 1533-position model. The record is from RNAcentral.
UACGUAGGGUGCAAGCGUUGUCCGGAAUUAUUGGGCGUAAAGAGCUCGUAGGCGGUUUGUCGCGUCUGCUGUGAAAACGCGAGGCUCAACCUCGCGCCUGCAGUGGGUACGGGCAGACUAGAGUGCGGUAGGGGUGACUGGAAUUCCUGGUGUAGCGGUGGAAUGCGCAGAUAUCAGGAGGAACACCGAUGGCGAAGGCAGGUCUCUGGGCCACUACUGACGCUGAGGAGCGAAAGCGUGGGGAGCGAACAGG